AUGUUCAUGGCCUACUGCAUGAUCUUCACCAUGACGCUCCAUCCGGGCCCGAGCUGGCGAACCAUGCUGGGCGUGCUAGCCGGGCCCUCUCUGAUCUACCUCGCGCUGACGGUGUUCUACCUGCCGGAGUCGCCGCGCUGGCUGGUGAGCAAGGGGAGGAUGAAGAAGGCGAGGGUGGUGUUGGAGAAGCUAAGGGGCAGGGAGGACGUGUCCGGCGAGAUGGCACUGCUGGUGGAGGGGCUGGGGAGCACCGGCGAGACGGAGAUCGAGGAGUACGUCGUCCGCCCGGCCGACGGUGACCAGGAGCAGAGGGACACGGUGACGUUGUACGGGCCCGAGCAGGGGCUGUCGUGGGUGGUGCAGCCCGUCGCCGGCGGGAGGGGCAGCAUGCUGGGGAGCGCGCUGGGGCUCGGUGGCACGGGGAGGCAGGGGAGCAUGUUCGACUCCAUGAGGGACCCCGUGGUGGCGCUCCUCGGGAGUGUGCACGAGCGCCUCCCCGAAGACGGCGGCGCCGGGAGCAUGAGGGGGAGCACACUGUUCCCCAACCUCGGGAGCAUGCUCAGCGUUGAGAGGCCUGGCGGCGCCGCAUCCGGCGCCCCCGGCGGCAGCGGCAAUGAUGAUGGUUCACUACGAGCAUUUCUCAAGCGUCAGGCCAAGAAGUUAAGGCGGUUAUCGAAUCUUCUCGGUUGCCGCGAUCCCGAAUUUGAUGAACCAUCUGCCUCUACGACUGGUACACCAUCAGACCCCUCAUCUCACCAUCAGAGGGACGAUGUGAGUUCCUCAUAUGCUUAUCAGGAUGAUGAGGGUGCGGUCACCCAAGAGGGCGAUGAGCUUGAUGAUGACAUGACUUUGGCGGACGCUCAGCUUCGGUCCCCAUAUGUGUUCAAGCCUAGGCAGUCCAGACGCCGGGUGGUCGUAGGGACCUCGCGGAUGGCUAGCUUGGAUCAUGAGGCGGAGGCGGAGGCGGAGGCGGAGGAGGAAGUGCAGGAAGAGGAGGCUCGUCCACCCAGGAAGAAGAAGAUUGCCUGCAGGCGUGGCACCAGGAACACGCGCGGAAGGCAUUAG
RNAcentral lists this ribosomal RNA (1065 nucleotides) under Triticum aestivum (bread wheat). Its description in RNAcentral is "partial small subunit ribosomal RNA". Lineage: Eukaryota; Viridiplantae; Streptophyta; Magnoliopsida; Poales; Poaceae. The record is from RNAcentral.